This 465-nucleotide ribosomal RNA is filed under the name uncultured marine eukaryote. RNAcentral describes it as "SSU rRNA". It matches the Rfam family "Eukaryotic small subunit ribosomal RNA", at positions 612 to 1080 of the family's 1831-position model. The record is from RNAcentral.
GUUGCAGUUAGAACGCUCGUAGUCGGAUUUCGGGGCGGGUCGACCGGUCUGCCGAUGGGUACGCACUGGUCGACGCGUCCUUCCUUCCGGAGACCGUCUCACUCUUAACUGAGCGGAGGCGGGAGACGGAAUUUUUACUUUGAAAAAAUCAGAGUGUUUCAAGCAGGCAGCUCGCUCUUGCAUGGAUUAGCAUGGGAUAAUGAAAUAGGACUUUGGUGCUAUUUUGUUGGUUUCGAACACCGAAGUAAUGAUGAGAAGGGACAGUCAGGGGCACUCGUAUUCCGCCGAGAGAGGUGAAAUUCUCAGACCAGCGGAAGACGAACCACUGCGAAAGCAUUUGCCAGGGAUGUUUUCACUGAUCAAGAACGAAAGUUAGGGGAUCGAAGACGAUCAGAUACCGUCGUAGUCUUAACCCAUAAACCAUGCCCGACUAGGGAUUGGAGGAUGUUCACUUAUUGACUCCUU